CCUACGGGAGGCAGCAGUGGGGAAUAUUGGACAAUGGGGGCAACCCUGAUCCAGCCAUGCCGCGUGGGUGAUGAAGGCCUUAGGGUUGUAAAGCCCUUUCGCGCGCGACGAUGAUGACGGUAGCGCGAGAAGAAGCCUCGGCUAACUCCGUGCCAGCAGCCGCGGUAAGACGGAGGAGGCUAGCGUUGUUCGGAAUUACUGGGCGUAAAGCGUGCGUAGGCGGCCUGGUUAGUCGGAGGUGAAAUCCCGGGGCUCAACUCCGGAACUGCCUCCGAGACGGCUGGGCUUGAGCGAAGGAGAGGAGAGCGGAAUUCCCAGUGUAGAGGUGAAAUUCGUAGAUAUUGGGAAGAACACCGGUGGCGAAGGCGGCUCUCUGGCCUUUUGCUGACGCUCAGGCACGAAAGCGUGGGGAGCAAACAGGAUUAGAUACCCUUGUAGUC
This 440-nucleotide ribosomal RNA is filed under the name uncultured bacterium. RNAcentral describes it as "bacterial SSU rRNA". It matches the Rfam family "Bacterial small subunit ribosomal RNA", at positions 338 to 795 of the family's 1533-position model. The record is from RNAcentral.